GAAAAAUUAGAGGGAACAUUGGUGCUGACAAUUCAGGUGACAAGAAUGGCACAGCAACCAGCUGCAGUGUUUCUCGUAUCUCGUGACCGGAACAGCACAAUGACAACGCUGCCAUGUCAACACAUCGGGGCACCAGAAUGAUACAACAACCAUCUGCAAUGUUUACAUAUCUGGUAACGAGAGUGAUGUAAUGACAGCACUGCAAUGUCGACAAUUGUGGGGUGGCCAGAACAGUAAACUGCAAUGCUGCGGUGUCAAUACACUGCAAUGACAGUGCUGUGGUGUCGACCAUGUUGGGGAACCAAACCAGCGCAAUGCCAAUACGGGGUUGUCCACCACUUUGGGAAACCAGAACGGCUCAAUUCCAACAUUGUGUUGUUGAUAUGUCAAGGGACCAAAAUUCUACAACAACGUUACAGUGGGUGACCAGAAUGGCACAAUGACAAUACUGCCAUGUCAGCACACUUAGGAACCAGAACAGUGCAACAACAACAACAACGCUGCAGUAUUGAGACGUUGGGGAACCAGAAUAUCACAAUUCCAACGCUGCAGGUUCGACCACAUUUGGGAACCAGGAUGUCACACUGACCACCUGCAGUGUCUACAUAUCUGGUGACUGUAAUGGUACAACAACAAUGCAUCAGGGUCAGCACAUCUAUAGGGGCUUUCGACCAAAGAGCACCAGGUGCUAGGCUGGUUCAAAGUUGAGAGCCAGUGCUUUUUUGGUUCAAAUCUUGUGCCGCCCCAGAACCGGUUUGUGUUUCCAUUCAGAAGGAGCAAAGUUGGGGCUGCGUCAUUGCGCCACCACAAAACGUGUGUACGUCACUGCGUACGUAGCCGUUCAACAGCGUUCGCGCCGUACGGAAACCCACACAACAACAAUGGAGGACUUCAUUGGAGUGGUGUUCAUGGCUUUGCUAGUGUGUCUCGCCAUUGCUGAGCAGCAAAACCUUCUGUUAGGGGUUACCCAUCGGCGUCGCCGUUCCAAUGCCCCGGCGAUCACGUUUGAGAAGAAAGAUGUUUUUAGAUGUCACCCCGCCCCCUGCCCAUGACAUGCUCGGCUCUCAACUCUGGCCAAGUCUGGCCCAGCAACGAGUUGGUGCCCGAAAAAGCCCCAGUUUUUGGAGCCCGGAGCCGCAGCUCCGGUGGUGGAAAGACAAAAAAACGGCGCCAAGUCGGGCACCGGCUCCGACUCCGAACGGGCUCCACCCCGGUCGAAAGCUCCCACUAGAGACCAGAAUGGCACAACACUGCUAUAUUGACAUGUUGGGAGACCAGAAUAGCACAGCAACCAGCUCCAGUGUCUACACAUCCUGUGACCAGAAUGCUGAAACAACAACACUGCAGUAUCAACAUGUUGGGGGACCAGAACGGCGCAAUCCCAACACUGUGGCGUCAUCCACAUUGGAGAACCAGAAUGGUACAAUGACCAGCUGCAGUGUCUACACAUCUGGUGACUGUAAAUGCGCAAUGACAAUGCAACAGGGUCAGCACAUCUAUGGACCAGAAUGGCACAACAGCAACACUGCGAUAUCGACAUGUUGGGAAACCAGAAUAGCACAACAACCAGCUCCAGUGUCUACACAUCCUGUGACCAGAAUGCUGAAACAACAACACAGUAUCAACAUGUUGGGGGACCAGAACGGCUAAAUGCCAACACUGCAGUGUCGUCCAUGUUGAGGAAGUAGAAUGGCACAAUGACAACGCUGCAAUGUCGUCCACGUGGGGGGACCACAACGGCGCAAUGACAAUGGUGCGGUGUCGGCAUGCCAGGGAACCAGAACAGUGUAAUGAGACAGCUGUAGUGUCGGCUAAUCUGGGGGAACAGACUGGUGAAACAACAAUGCUGCAGUGUCAACAUGCUGGAGGACCAGAAUGGCACAGUGACAACGCUGCAGUAUUGACACGUUGGGGAACCAGAACGUUGCAAAGCCCCCCUUUUCCGUCCAAACACACUCGACUUCAGUUCACCCCGUUAAUCAGCAGCUUCUUCCCUCUUCAAUCAUGUUUCUUUAAAAUGUUGUAAUUCUCAGAUGUAUUUUAUUCUGAAAUAAAUGAUCAAAUUUGAUGUUUUCUUUCUGAAGCCAAUAAAAAAGGCAGAUUACUGUGCCAGUCUUCUGUGUUGCUGCUUUAUUUCUGUUAAUGUUCUCCCAAACCCCUUUUCUGUGUUAUUGGAACAGUUUCUGCUGAUCCAGUUCAAACUGUUCAGUCCUUUUUAUCCACUGAUUGAAUUCACAGCAACAUUUGAAAAAGUUUUCCAACAG
Long non-coding RNA from Amphiprion ocellaris (clown anemonefish), 2264 nucleotides. The record is from Ensembl. Lineage: Eukaryota; Metazoa; Chordata; Actinopteri; Pomacentridae.